Molecule: long non-coding RNA, 348 nt
Filed under: Rosa chinensis
Lineage: Eukaryota; Viridiplantae; Streptophyta; Magnoliopsida; Rosales; Rosaceae
Description: sRNA RchiOBHm_Chr2g0096341
Source: RNAcentral
GCUCUUCACAAUGAAUCGCGAGCGGGUUGAGCUUCAUGGACUUGAAAUAAUUGAGAGCUGAAUUGGGAAAACUCGGAGGUGGCCAACCGGGUUUCAUAAAUUGUCUUGUUAACAAGAGCCGACAUUAUAUCAACCUGCUGAGGAUCCUUGUGCCCAGAACCACCCGACCCCAUCAAGGUUUGAACACAAAUUCUGGGAUAUCUAGUAAAGCUGCAUUCCUUUUUAACAUACACUUGGUACUUAUCCAAGGCAGCCCCAGACACCGAGGCCCCUCCCAAUACCCAAAGAAACCCUAAAACAACAAACUGAAACAUAUUCUCAAAUUUUAGAGGUAUCAAACAAACUGGC